UACGGGGGGGGCAAGCGUUGUUCGGAAUUACUGGGCGUAAAGGGCUCGUAGGCGGCCAACUAAGUCAGACGUGAAAUCCCUCGGCUUAACCGGGGAACUGCAUCUGAUACUGGAUGGCUUGAGUUCGGGAGAGGGAUGCGGAAUUCCAGGUGUAGCGGUGAAAUGCGCAGAUAUCAGGAGGAACACCGGUGGAGAAGGCGGGUCUCUGGGCCGAUACUGACGCUGAGGAGCGAAAGCGUGGGGAGCGAACAGG
This 253-nucleotide ribosomal RNA is filed under the name uncultured bacterium. Its description in RNAcentral is "partial 16S ribosomal RNA". It matches the Rfam family "Bacterial small subunit ribosomal RNA", at positions 524 to 776 of the family's 1533-position model. The record is from RNAcentral.